AUUUAUAUAGUUUAAAAAAACAUUACAUUUUCACUGUAAAGACAAAGAAACUCUUUUAUAAAUA
RNAcentral lists this transfer RNA (64 nucleotides) under Malagasitermes milloti. Its description in RNAcentral is "tRNA-Glu". It matches the Rfam family "tRNA". From Rfam's summary of the family: Transfer RNA (tRNA) molecules are approximately 80 nucleotides in length. Lineage: Eukaryota; Metazoa; Arthropoda; Insecta; Blattodea; Termitidae. The record is from RNAcentral.